Long non-coding RNA from Saccostrea cuccullata (small rock oyster), 1045 nucleotides. RefSeq lists it as uncharacterized. The transcript is spliced from 2 exons. NCBI's taxonomy places the organism in Eukaryota, Metazoa, Mollusca, Bivalvia, Ostreida, Ostreidae. The record is from RefSeq and is a predicted model, not a curated record.
CUCUACUGGUCAGAGACCAGAAGAGCUUAUGCGAUAGUAAUGCGUCCGUCGUCCGUCCGUCUGUCUGUCUAUUUCAAUAUAACUUGGCACACAAGUAGACUACAUUAAGAUACAUAAUUCUGUGUAUCGCUUUUUGAUUUCAAUGAACGGUGUUGCCGUUGUUACUAAAAAUAGAAAAAUUUGUGAAAAUCAUUCAAAAUGCUACUCCUCCUACAGUUUUAAUCUGAUUUCAGUAUAACUUGGCACACAAGUAGACUACACUAAGAUACAUUAUUCUGUGUAUCGCUUUUUGAUUUCAAUGAACGGUGUUGCCGUUGUUACUAAAAAUAGAAAAAUUUGUGAAAAUCAUUCAAAAUGCUACUCCUCCGACAGUUUUAAUCUGAUUUCAGUAUAACUUGGCAUACAAGUAGACUACACAAAGAUACAUAAUUUUGUUUAUCGGUUUUUGAUUUCAAUGAACGGUGUUGCCGUUGUUACUAAGAAUAGAUUUUUUUGUGAAAAUCAUUCAAAUUGCUACUCUUCCUACAGUUUUGGUCUGAUUUCAAUAUAACUUGGCACACAAGUAGACUACACUAAGAUACAUAAUUCUGUAUAUUGGUUUUUGAUUUCAAAGAACGGUGUUGCCGUUGUUACUAAAAGAAGAAAUUUCUGUGAAAAACAUUCAAAAUGCUACUCCUUGUACAGUUUUGGUCUGAUUUCAAUGUAACUUGGCACACAAGUAGACUACACUAAGAUACAUAAUUCUGUAUAUAGGUUUUUGUUUCAAUGAACGGUGUUGCUGUUGUUACUUAAAAAAAAGAAAUUUCUUUGAAAUACAUUUAAAAUGCUACUCCUCCUACAGUUUUGGUCUGAUUUUAAUAUAACUUGGCACACAAGUAGACUACACUAAGAUACAUAAUUCUGUGUAUCGGUAUUUGUCAUUAUUCUAUUUAUUGCUUUUGUAAAGUUUUAUAUCCCAACUGCUACUUUUCUCUUUCUUUAUUAUAAGUACAAACCAGUAGAGCUUCAGUCUCGACAGAGACUUCUGGUUUUCAAUAACAAUAAA